Molecule: long non-coding RNA, 1102 nt
Filed under: Mus spicilegus (steppe mouse)
Lineage: Eukaryota; Metazoa; Chordata; Mammalia; Rodentia; Muridae
Description: lncRNA (ENSMSIG00000005896.1)
Source: RNAcentral
AUAACAGUCAUCACCCCAUAACAGUUGUCACCCUAUAACAGUCAUCACCCCAUAACAGUCAUCACUCUGUAAUGGUCAUCACCCAAUAACAGUCAUCAUCCCAUAACAUUCAUCACCCCAUAACAGGCAUUACUCAGUAACAGGCAUCACCCCCAUAACAGUCAUCAUCCCAUAACAGGCAUCACCCCCAUAACAGUCAUCAUCCCAUAACAGUCAUUACCCUAUAACAGUCAUUAUCACAUAACAGUCAUCACCCAUAGCAGUCAUGCCACUAUUGCCCUACUGGGCACAUCCUGCCUGUCAGAUCAAUAUUGUAGCUCUAGGGUAUCACAACUGGGUAAGAAUGUUGACCUCUCCCAUCGUCCCCUCCCCCAGUGGCCUGCAGAACACCUUCCAGAGCCAGUGAGAAGGGAGGGAGCUUUCGGCUCAGUCAUCACCGUUUUGUUUUGUCCUGUGGUAUCUUCAGUUCUGCUGGCUCCUCCUCUGAGGACUCUAAUUACAGAACCAUCUCAUCUCAGGGUGCUGCAGCCUGUGACCACACUGGAAUCUGGAGCCCCUAGGCAGUAACUGGGAUGAAGCCAUCUGACUCUUUUGAACCAAGCUGGCACCACAGAUCCCAGUGAAUGCAUGGUGGUGAUAUGCAUUUGUGGAGAAGCCACCAUAUUUCUUGGAUGUCUGGGCGACCACUGAUCAAAUCGGACUUCUUGCCAACUGGAGAGAGGGCAGGCAUGCAUGCAGAUCCACACAGCACGUGUGGUAAGCCUCACAGUGAGAGACACAGGACGCCCUCUGCUGGAAGUACUGCUGGAUGUAAUUUCCUCUCAGCUGAAAUCAUCUCCCCUGGAGGCGAGAGGGCAAGAGGGAAACUCACAAAGUUCAGGAAAGCCCUGAAACUUACAGAACUCACAAGGCCCCUCCCUAAGAUUGCACAAGCAAUAAGAUGGCAGGGGAGAGGAGACUCUGAGAUGCCAGGCUCCAGAGCUGCCAUUCAUCUGUGUGUCUACUAUGCUGGAAAGGGUUUUGGGGAGGCAGCUGCCUUUGAGUUACCCACACUCUGUAAGCAACUCCAAUAAAUUGACAGGCUCACCAAGCCAUACUUGGA